AUCAGGUGAUAACUCAACAGACACCUGAGUCUUAUAAAUAGACUCAGGUCUAUUGAGAGAGUUCAGAUGGGGAAGAAGCCAUAGGGAGCAAACAGGAAGACUGGCUCGCUCGCGUGAAGGGCUGAAGUGCCAGAGCCUGUUGGAACCUGGAGGCCUUAGGCUGGGCAGGACAGUGCUUGAUCCCAGAGGCAGGGAAAGGCAGUGGAACCCCAGGAGAGGGCUGAGCACGGGGCCCAGAGGAUACAUUGAUUCUUUAGGAUUACAUCAGGACAUUUGGUUACCCUGGAAGGGGUUUGGACUAGCUGAUUCCCAGCCAGAGGGCUGAGUGGCAUGCAAAGACAGAUGGUGCACUGGCAGUGAGUGUGCAUCCUUACAUGUGCCCAAACCCAUUUCUCAUGUCAUAGACUGUAAAGAUUCUGGCUUUGGGGAAUUCUCGCAAGAUGUCUUCAAUUGUGGGCACUGAAUAGUGGCCUCUUUUAAAUGACUGGUUCAGACUCUGGGUCUAUGCAGAAGUGUAACGGCCCGAUGGCUUCUUUACCACCAUCAUUCUCUUACCCAGGCUGUACUGGCCUCUUCAGGUGCCAUGAUAACCUGCUCUGCAGACUUUCAAGCUUCUUAAAUACUGGGUUGCAUAGUGCCCCUGGAAUUUCCUUCCUGAUAAGCACACAGGUUCCACAGUAGGGGUUCCUGCCAGUUUCAGGUUUCACUUGAAGCACCCAUAGCCUUUGAAAACAUUCCCAGUGUCUCCAUUGUUGGUGGGAGUCAGGGUUGAGUACCUUCAGCUGAGCCUGAGUACUAGCCAGACCAGCCUCCAGGCUGAUUAAUGAGCUUGGCUGGGUUGCGGUAGGAUCACUUGAUUGACUGACCUACCUGACUGGCUUAAGAGAGCAGGGAGGCCUGCUUUUAAGCUCACCAGCAACAGCUGGUUGUUGGCUGCUCAAUGCUUCUGCCUGCAGCUGUAUCCACUCUUGCUCCUGCCUUGCUCCAGCCCUGCCCCGCCUUGUUCCAGCCUGCUUUGAUCCUGCCCCUGCCUUGUUCCUGACUCACUCCAGCCCUGCAUUCUGUUCCUGGCUCCUGACUCUGGCUCUAACCCUUAGCUCUGGCUGUGAUUCCUGGUUCCUGACUUUGGCUCCAACCCCUGGCCGUCAGCUCUGAUUCCUUCAUUCUGGUUAUAACCUGGGAUUACCAGCACCUGCCUCUGACUGUGGGACUCCUCAUUUUACUUCUUGAACUACAGCUAUACAAUUCCAAUGCUGCACUCUGAUCAUAUUCAUAGCUUGUAUGGCCUCUGUCUAAGUAACAGCUCCUCCAGGGAACGUGGGCCUCUGAUGCCAAAUGCACCAAUCGGAAUACAGUUGCCAUUUGUGCCUUUGGAAAUCUCCCACUGCGCGACUGAAAAAUCAAGAGAUGCUGUAACAGGACACUAUCUCAAGUUAGGAGUAUGUUUGUGAGCUCUUUAUCUGUCUGAGAAAUAUGGAAGUGAACAGGAGCAGGCAAUAGACACAAGUGUAGACACUUUUUGCAGAGAACUCACCUUGACCUCAAUGGGAAUUCAAUGUGCACAGCAGUAGAAGAAAUAAGUCUUUAUACUUAGCAUUUUGUAAAGUAUUAUUCUGAUAGUAAAAAUGAAGGCUCGUUCAUCCAGUUAUGUCACUGAAAUGGAAAGUGGACAUUAUAUAUCGACAUAUAAUAAAUUAAGCCAGCUCCUGUAUGUACAUUUCCAAAUGGACCUGAUUCUGAUCUCACUCCACUUUUACACCAGUAUGACUCUAUUGAAGCUAUUCCUAAUUUAUGCAGUGUAAAAGCAAUCACAAUCAGACCCAUAUUCUACACUGUGUGUCAGCAGCAAAAUAGAGUAAGUGGGCUUCUGAGCAUGCAAAUCAUUUAACCAUCAUGGAAAAAGGAAGAGACUGGACCACAUGAGGAAAGUGUUACUGUUUUAUGGGAAAUGUGAUCCUCUCAGCCAGCUAAUUGAAUUGUUGAGAGGGAAAAAAUGUUGUAACCAUGAUUUCGAUAUUUAUUUAUUUAUUUAUUUAUUUAUUUCUUCUUUACGAAAAGAAUCUCAUUCCCCCACGCUCCCUUCCCAGAUUUCAGAAGUCAAAGGAUCAUCCAUCUCUUUCCUUCCAAGGUUUUCCUUUCUAUCACUUUGCUUUCUAACUCUUUCUUCCUCCUCUGAUUUUUUCCUCAGUAGAGCCUGUGCUUCAGGACCAGACCCAUCUGAAGCACCGGGUCUUCAGAACUCUCUAGCUCAACAUCACAGGAAUGCAGACUCUUUUGGAAUGUCAACAACCUCAGUCCUAUCUCCUUCUACAGAGACAGCUAGGGACAUAGAAGCUACUUCAGUCAUUAGGUUAAAAUAGCAGCCACUGAGCAUAUCUGUGUUCAUCCCAAGCCUGUGGAUGGUGGAUUUCUUUCUCCUGUGGAGUUUCCUAGAGCCCAGCCCAGUCACACCAGCUGGGCACUUGGUGAAGGAUUUAUAUUCGUGUAUCCAAACCAUACUGUCUCUCUUAUUUACACUGUAAUCUCCUUGUGGUGAGGACAGUAACUUCUCUAUGCUUUGUACAGCACCAAGUACAUUGCCAGUGCUCAGUAAGUGAUGGUAAUGAUUGCAACUACCGCUAUAAUAUAUACCUGCGGAGUGAUUAAAACCCCUUUUUAUUCAGUUGUAUAAUUUUUUAAAAGCCCAGUAAACUAAGCUUCCCACCUCCUUCCCACUUGACCCUUUUCAAGCAAUCUUUCUCUGGCUAGGUAUGCAGUUAGCUAAUAGUUCAUUUUUUAUGCCUAUAGCAAACAAUGAUGCUAUUCUCAGCUAAUGAUUAAAUAAUUAUUUUGACUUGGCUCUUAAAUACCUUACUUUUGGAUUUGUGCACUGAAUCUACAAAGGGAGG
Long non-coding RNA from Dermochelys coriacea (leatherback sea turtle), 2888 nucleotides. RefSeq lists it as uncharacterized. The transcript is spliced from 2 exons. Lineage: Eukaryota; Metazoa; Chordata; Testudines; Dermochelyidae. The record is from RefSeq and is a predicted model, not a curated record.